GACGAACGCUGGCGGCGUGCCUAAUACAUGCAAGUCGAACGAACUCUGGUAUUGAUUGGUGCUUGCAUCAUGAUUUACAUUUGAGUGAGUGGCGAACUGGUGAGUAACACGUGGGAAACCUGCCCAGAAGCGGGGGAUAACACCUGGAAACAGAUGCUAAUACCGCAUAACAACUUGGACCGCAUGGUCCGAGUUUGAAAGAUGGCUUCGGCUAUCACUUUUGGAUGGUCCCGCGGCGUAUUAGCUAGAUGGUGGGGUAACGGCUCACCAUGGCAAUGAUACGUAGCCGACCUGAGAGGGUAAUCGGCCACAUUGGGACUGAGACACGGCCCAAACUCCUACGGGAGGCAGCAGUAGGGAAUCUUCCACAAUGGACGAAAGUCUGAUGGAGCAACGCCGCGUGAGUGAAGAAGGGUUUCGGCUCGUAAAACUCUGUUGUUAAAGAAGAACAUAUCUGAGAGUAACUGUUCAGGUAUUGACGGUAUUUAACCAGAAAGCCACGGCUAACUACGUGCCAGCAGCCGCGGUAAUACGUAGGUGGCAAGCGUUGUCCGGAUUUAUUGGGCGUAAAGCGAGCGCAGGCGGUUUUUUAAGUCUGAUGUGAAAGCCUUCGGCUCAACCGAAGAAGUGCAUCGGAAACUGGGAAACUUGAGUGCAGAAGAGGACAGUGGAACUCCAUGUGUAGCGGUGAAAUGCGUAGAUAUAUGGAAGAACACCAGUGGCGAAGGCGGCUGUCUGGUCUGUAACUGACGCUGAGGCUCGAAAGUAUGGGUAGCAAACAGGAUUAGAUACCCUGGUAGUCCAUACCGUAAACGAUGAAUGCUAAGUGUUGGAGGGUUUCUGCCCUUCAGUGCUGCAGCUAACGCAUUAAGCAUUCCGCCUGGGGAGUACGGCCGCAAGGCUGAAACUCAAAGGAAUUGACGGGGGCCCGCACAAGCGGUGGAGCAUGUGGUUUAAUUCGAAGCUACGCGAAGAACCUUACCAGGUCUUGACAUACUAUGCAAAUCUAAGAGAUUAGACGUUCCCUUCGGGGACAUGGAUACAGGUGGUGCAUGGUUGUCGUCAGCUCGUGUCGUGAGAUGUUGGGUUAAGUCCCGCAACGAGCGCAACCCUUAUUAUCAGUUGCCAGCAUUAAGUUGGGCACUCUGGUGAGACUGCCGGUGACAAACCGGAGGAAGGUGGGGAUGACGUCAAAUCAUCAUGCCCCUUAUGACCUGGGCUACACACGUGCUACAAUGGAUGGUACAACGAGUUGCGAACUCGCGAGAGUAAGCUAAUCUCUUAAAGCCAUUCUCAGUUCGGAUUGUAGGCUGCAACUCGCCUACAUGAAGUCGGAAUCGCUAGUAAUCGCGGAUCAGCAUGCCGCGGUGAAUACGUUCCCGGGCCUUGUACACACCGCCCGUCACACCAUGAGAGUUUGUAACACCCAAAGUCGGUGGGGUAACCUUUUAGGAACCAGCCGCCUAAGGUGGGACAGAUGAUUAGGGUG
RNAcentral lists this ribosomal RNA (1489 nucleotides) under Lactiplantibacillus pentosus. RNAcentral describes it as "bacterial SSU rRNA". It matches the Rfam family "Bacterial small subunit ribosomal RNA". The record is from RNAcentral. Lineage: Bacteria; Bacillati; Bacillota; Bacilli; Lactobacillales; Lactobacillaceae.